Molecule: ribosomal RNA, 206 nt
Filed under: uncultured bacterium
Lineage: Bacteria
Description: partial 16S ribosomal RNA
Rfam family: Bacterial small subunit ribosomal RNA
Source: RNAcentral
CACGUAGGCGGAUCGUUAAGUCGGGGGUGAAAUCCUGGAGCUCAACUCCAGAACUGCCUUCGAUACUGGCGAUCUAGAGUCCGGAAGAGGUGAGUGGAACUCCUAGUGUAGAGGUGGAAUUCGUAGAUAUUAGGAAGAACACCAGUGGCGAAGGCGGCUCACUGGUCCGGUACUGACGCUGAGGUGCGAAAGCGUGGGAGCAAACA